Molecule: long non-coding RNA, 872 nt
Organism: Drosophila nasuta
Lineage: Eukaryota; Metazoa; Arthropoda; Insecta; Diptera; Drosophilidae
Exons: 2
Source: RefSeq, a predicted model, not a curated record
AGAGCUGCUCCAUCAGUUCGUUCAGAUUUUUCUCAUUCCAUUUCGAAGUCUCGAAAAGGAAAGAUCAAAUUCAUGUCUAAAUUUUUACUUUGGACUUGGAAAAAAAAUUUUAUUUCGCUUUUAGUUUGUGAUAAUUUCUAGGAUUAUUUUUGUGUUCAUUAAUUAAUGUUCUUACUUCUGAAGGAACAAUGCAAAUAAGUUUGCAAACAUUAAACAAGUUUCAAAUGGAGCUGACAUGAAAAGGAAAGAUGAGAAAAAACCGUUUCGAAUGCUGUAUUCUUUUUCCAUUUCCUGACGAACAUAUUUUGUUUAAGACUUUCAAAUGUUGUUGAGCCCAUGAAGAUAUUUUUUGUAACGUUAUUAAUUCGCAUUCGAUUGCGAAGCACUCAAAAUUUAAAGUCGUACUAUGUGCUUUCCCAAAGAAGACGCAAAAAUAUAAUCAUAUACAUAAUCCCAGAACUUCCGGCUAAAAAAGGAAACGACACUACGCAACGCUUGAAUCGCUAUCCAAAGAAUUGGAAAUGGAUUAAUUCAAAGUGCCACAGAGAACACAAACUAUAUUUUUUAUACAACUUAUACGAAACAUUCAUCAUCAUUGCAUCACUGCCUGCUGUUCAAUCAGACUGCCUGCUAUACUUUCCACACUUUCAACUUUCAACACAAGGAAAUCUCAUAUUAUAUGAAUCCCACUUGUUUUUACACCUUCUUUUGCAUAUGAAGUUCGCAUCAUUUUGUGGAUUGUCCAGACUAAUUACUACACACAUAUUUUGUAAAGCAUUUCAUAUGUUUAAUAUUUUGUGAUUUACAUAUAUAUUUUGUUAUUUUCGAUUUGCGUUCAGUAUAUUUUGUACAUUUGUUUGUUACCUCGAUAA